CACCACAAGAACGCGUGGAGCAUGUGGCUUAAUUUGACUCAACGCGGGAAAUCUUACCGGGUCCGGACACACUGAGGAUUGACAGGCAAUAUUAAUACGUUUUGCUUCGGUAACAUCGUAUUAUGUUAAAUAUGCUAGUCCUUUCAUGAUUAUGUGAUAGGUGGUGCAUGGCCGUUCUUAGUUCGUGGAGUGAUCUGUCUGCUUAAUUGCGUUUCACUAAGGGCCUAUAAAUUUACGUGUGUUGCAUCGCACUUUGACCCCUUUCUUUAAUUAGAGAGCGCGUGUCUUAGUUUUCGCUUUGCUCAUACAAUUAGGUCCUGAAAGCAACGAACGUGACCGCAACCUCUUGUUGCCUUUAUACCAAACAUGUUUUGCGUCAAUUUUCGAAUUGCGCGCAUUUCAUGAAAAAAGGCUUUUUAAACUAGAGGGACCGCUGUUACUUUCUUAAACCAGAGGAAGGUUGCGGCAAUAACAGGUCUGUGAUGCCCUUAGAUGUUCCGGGCUGCACACGUGCUACAAUGAUUAUUGCAAGUGAGCAUCUCAUUUUUACACACCGCAUGCGCGAGUCCAUUUAUUCACCUUCGGGUGUUUUAAAUGUGUAUCUCUGCGCGCGGUAAAGCCUGCUUCGGACAGUAAGUGGGUAAUCAAUUAGAAGUAAUGAUUUCCUUUUUUUUAGCACACAUAUAUACGGCGUCUAUGCCCGGGUGACCUUUUUMUAGCUUUUGKNGUAUAGAUGUUUUUUCCGNAUGUGUGAUGUCAAUUCAUGGUGGGGACAGACCAUUGUUAAUUGUUGGUCUCGGUCUUUAACKUAGGAAUGCCUUGUACGGGUCUUUGGUUCAACAAACCACCCGGAAUACGUCCCUGCCCUUUGUACACACCGCCCGUCGCUCUUACCGAUGGACUUCUCUGUGAGUUUGAGGGACUGGGAACGCAGGAAUUUAUUUCUUGCACACCUUAGUGGAAACUUUAAACGAACAGGUGGUGGCCUUAAAGGAAAGAGAAGUCGUAACAAGGCAUA
Molecule: ribosomal RNA, 1018 nt
Filed under: Cibicidoides wuellerstorfi
Lineage: Eukaryota; Foraminifera; Rotaliida; Anomalinidae
Description: bacterial SSU rRNA
Rfam family: Eukaryotic small subunit ribosomal RNA
Source: RNAcentral